This 1418-nucleotide long non-coding RNA is filed under the name Anas platyrhynchos platyrhynchos (common mallard). RNAcentral describes it as "lncRNA (ENSAPLG00000022775.1)". Lineage: Eukaryota; Metazoa; Chordata; Aves; Anseriformes; Anatidae. The record is from RNAcentral.
UGAUCAAUGAAACUGUGUUGGAAACAAAGCAAAUCAAAUGAAUUUACUGUCUUCUCUUUCACCUUUUCUGUAGUUAAAAAUGCUUUUGGAAUACUUGCAGUGCAGUAGCUUUCAGAAGCGAUGACAAAGUAUGGCAGUGAACAAAAUAUGAAUAGAAAGAAAAAUGAUUUAGAUAUUUUAUUACUGAUGCAGAUAUAGGGAAACAGCUUAUCUUUGUCUUUUCUACUUUGUUGACAGAGACAACAAGGACAGGAUUCUUUACCUAAUGGCCCUAGAACCAUUUUGGGCUUGAUUCAAAAUAAGUUAUUCGUAAGAAAAAUGUCUUUGUGAUCUUUAACCAUAAUAUCAAAAAUUAACAUUAUUUUUCAAAUAAGAAGUCUAUGAAGACACAGACAGGGCAAAAAUAUUAAAUGGACCAGAGAAGUCAGAGCAAGCACCAUCCAACCUGCAGUGUUUUUUGACUACCUCUAAACAGGCCUUGUAAUUUUACAGCUGACAUGAAAUUACGAUCUCCGUGCUGUGGCAAAGGAUAAGAAAGACGAGGGAGGAGUUUUAUGUUGGACAGCAUCUUGAGAAAGUGAACAUAUGAAGAUCAACAGCCUUAUGCCUUUACUAGAUGCUCAGAAGAUAUUCUCAGUCUUCUCAAGAGCAACAGCAUAUGGUAUAAAAGAGCAGUUCCAGAAUGGCUCGAGAGUCACUGAAACCAAGCGAGGUAUCAGUAUCCUAAGACCUGCAACAUAUUUAAACAGAAGUUAACAUAACUGUUCACUGAAUGGAGCUACCUGAAAAUUCACAACUGCCAGAGAACUUCGUGCUGUCAGAGGAAAAGGACAGACAUUUCAACAGUCCAUUUCUGGCUCUUGGUCUCACCUUUGGGUAAGUGAGUAUUUUAGUGCGUCAUGGUACAGAAGACACAUGGGACAGAAGACAAGACAGAAGACAAAUAAUCCUGUUCAACCUACAAAAGGUAUGAUGGUUUUGAAAUACAGAGGUCUAGACCCACUUUCACAUUUCUUAACAGUGUUGAGAUGAUAAGAUGAUGUGUUACAACAUUACGUCAUUAAGAUGAGGUGCUACUGAUAAUUAAGUUCUUUUGAUAGCAAAAUAAUUCUGCAAUGAAGAUAAUUUCUGUCAUGCAGGCUCUCACAGUAGCAUUCAAAAAGAAAAGGAGGAUGUUUUGAACUUCUACUGGAAGACUGACAUCACACUUAAAGAUGAUAUGAGGAGUGAUAUCGGGUCUGUACAUUGCUAACACGUUAUUUAUACAUGCUAUAUGUUAACUUGCCAAACUGGAGAGUUUGUCACGUGGAGAACCAGGCAGUGCAGAAUGGGUUGACACAGUCUCAGAAGAUACAGGUCAUGAGAGCAACAAUUUGUUUUGACAGCAGUUGUGUUUCUACUACCAGAAAUGCUCUCUG